UACGGAGGGUGCAAGCGUUACUCGGAAUUACUGGGCGUAAAGCGCACGUAGGUGGUUUGUUAAGCUAGCUGUGAAAUCCCCGGGCUCAACCUGGGCACUGCAGUUAGAACUGGCAAGCUAGAGUAGGGUAGAGGGGUGUGGAAUUCCAGGUGUAGCGGUGAAAUGCGUAGAUAUCUGGAGGAACAUCAGUGGCGAAGGCGACACCCUGGACUCAUACUGACACUGAGGUGCGAAAGCGUGGGGAGCAAACAGG
This 253-nucleotide ribosomal RNA is filed under the name uncultured bacterium. RNAcentral describes it as "partial 16S ribosomal RNA". It matches the Rfam family "Bacterial small subunit ribosomal RNA", at positions 524 to 776 of the family's 1533-position model. The record is from RNAcentral.